MicroRNA precursor from Prolemur simus (greater bamboo lemur), 100 nucleotides. The record is from Ensembl. Lineage: Eukaryota; Metazoa; Chordata; Mammalia; Primates; Lemuridae.
GCCCUUUGGGGUGAGGUAGUAGGUUGUAUAGUUUGGGGCUCUGCCCUGCUAUGGGAUAACUAUACAAUCUACUGUCUUUCCUGAAGUGGCUGUAAUAUCU